UAUGAAAAUCCACUUAGAAUGAAAUUAUAUAUAUCUAUGUAUAUGCCCUUAACGAACGUGUACGUACUAUGUACGUCCGACAAAAAAACGGUUGCUAAGGACCACGGACGUACCUAGUAAUACCGCGGCAAAUAAGAGCCCUGGACUUACCUGGACCAGCGAUCACAGUCAGGGGGGACUGCCGGAGACCCCAGCAGUCCCCCUGCAGCAUCUCUGGCCCUCUAGGACCAUGUGAUCACCAUGAUCACAUCGCCGCAAUAGGAGUCUAGGAGCUGCCAGCAGGG
Pelobates cultripes (western spadefoot toad) is the source of this 284-nucleotide non-coding RNA. Lineage: Eukaryota; Metazoa; Chordata; Amphibia; Anura; Pelobatidae. The record is from the annotation of a GenBank genome assembly.